AAUAAGUUUAUUUUUUAGUUUUUGGAUACAAUGUUUUGACUCUUCGUCCUAUUUGAAAUUUUUUUGUGAUUAAUAUUUUUAUUGUUACUAGAUGAUAAAACAUAAAUAGCUAGUAUUUUAUGCGUGACUAAUUUUUUAAGUUUUUUAUAAGUUUUUCAAAUAAGACGAAUUGUCAAAGUUUGGAUAAAAAAUC
RNAcentral lists this microRNA precursor (193 nucleotides) under Oryza brachyantha (malo sina). RNAcentral describes it as "MIR812 microRNA precursor family". It matches the Rfam family "MIR812 microRNA precursor family". Lineage: Eukaryota; Viridiplantae; Streptophyta; Magnoliopsida; Poales; Poaceae. The record is from Rfam by way of RNAcentral.